AAUAGGGCUGUGUUCAGCAUGCUGCAAACCCAGUUUCUCUCUCUCCCACCCAUCUCCCUCCUCCUCCUCCUGCUGCUUCUCUUCCCACCACACUAAUUCCAGAUCUGACCAUGAAUCGGUCAGGCUUCUUCCUCAGUGUCCUCAGCCUACUGGCAUGUCUUGCCUCCAUCACGCAGGCAUGUCCCCCGAGCUGCCACUGUCACGGUGGAGACCUGCAGCACGUCAUCUGCGACAACGCGGGGUUGCAGAAGAUCCCCAAGGUGCCUGAGCAAACGCGGCUUCUCAACCUGCAAAAGAACAACUUCCCGGUCCUGCCAACCAACGGCUUCCGUGACAUGAAAAAACUGGUGUCCCUGCACCUCCAGAGCUCACGGAUCAAGGAGAUCUCAACUGGAGCCUUCCGGGGGCUCAAGAGCCUGGUCUACCUCUAUCUCACUGACAACCAGAUCAGUGUCAUAAAGCCAGGAGCCUUUGAUGACCUCUCUGAGCUCACCUACCUGUAUCUGGACCAGAAUAAGAUCCCAGACCUACCCAAAGGGCUCUUCUCUCCUCUUGUCAACCUCUUCAUCCUGCACUUAGGCAGCAAUAAAAUCCAGGAGCUGAAACCAGGGGCCUUCAAUGGGGCUAAAGACCUGCGCUGGCUCUACCUCUCUGACAACUCCCUCACCAACCUCCUGCCUGGGGCCCUGGAGGAUGUAGAAAACCUCGCUGUCCUCCACCUGGACAAGAACCAGCUGAGCAGCUAUCCUGUGAGCGCAAUGAGUAAGCUGAGAGUGCUGGAGGAACUGAAGCUUUCUCAUAACCCCAUUGAGGUCAUCCCCGACAAUGCCUUCCAGUCCUUCGGGCGUUACCUGCAGACACUCAACCUGGACAACAUGAAACUGAAGAAGUUUGCAGACAACGCAUUCGCCGGUGUGACCGUGCUGAAGACCGCUCACCUGGAGAACAACCGGCUCACCCAGCUGCCCCGCAACUUCCCCUUCGACAAAAUGGAGACGCUGACGCUCUCCCGAAACGCCUGGCACUGCAACUGCCAGCUAGCACAUCUGCGCAAGUGGCUGAAGGGCAAUCGCACCCGUACUGAUGAGACCUGCUCUACGCCCGCGCAGUACCGGGGGCAAUCCAUCAGAGACACCCCGGCCCUCCGCACCUGCAAGCUCCCCACCAAGAGGUCCAAGAAGGGAAGCCACCAUUAGACACGUAAGAUGGUUCACUUUUAGUCAGACCUACAGCAAACCCUGAUGCCGCCAAAGCAGGCCCUGGUAUGGCCUGUCCUGGUGACCGGUCACUUCAACCAUCAGAAAACUACUGACUUCUGAGUCCUUCCUUAAGCUUCUCCUACCUGUCAGGAAACAUUUCUGAUAUAUCCGACCACCUCCAGCCUCCUCCAAAUCCCCGCUUCUCUGCUGAUCGCAGGAUGGAAUCCACCUUUUCAAUCUUUUCCAACAUCUAUAUAUUUUAAAAGAGGCAUUUUUAAAAACUAAACUAUGCAUGACCGUACUAAGACAAGCUAACCUAGAUCCUGCCGGUAAAACACAGUCAUCUUUCCCAGAGGCAACAUAACCCACAUCCCCGAUCAACCAGUUGGUCGCUGUCUCUCCCUUUCCAGUGGAGUGGAAGCAAGCGGGAAGGUAGGAGCAUCCCUCCCCCAGCUGCUUGAUCAGGAAAAUUGGUCUCAACCCAUGCAAAGACACUCCUCUGCCUUCCCACGGAGGGGGUCCCUGCAGGCCAGGGCUGAGGGGGAUAGGUGAAGCAAAGACCAAGAACCGGUGGCCCCGAGACCGAGCUGCCCUUUCACGCCAAAAGGCAGCAAUCUCUCUAGGUUGGCCAGAAAUCCUUUAAGUGAAGCAGUACUGGGAAACCCCAAAACUGGAGCCAUCUGAAGACUGGAUUCCCUCCCACUCUGUGGGGUCUACUAAGAUGCAUGUACAUCCGAGAGGAGAAGGUGUGCGCCGUGCAGCCUGGCUUGGGCACCCCUCCUCUUCUCUCUGCCCAUACUCCCGAGGAUCUAGCAGGACACCAGGAUGACUGUGGUUUAUUGUCAUGGCUAUUACAAUACCACAGUUGCAACUUAACUGUGUUUUUUAAUCCUAAAGAGUUAUAUAAAUAUAUGUAUAUUUAUUCCUCUGUAACUGAGUGUAAAUGACCUUUAAGAGGAUGAAAGCUCCUCUGUCUUCUAUAUAGAAAUCAAAUUGUAUAUUUUCUUAUGUACAUCUUCUGUAUAAAGCUCUUGCUGCAAAGAUGAA
Molecule: RNA transcript, 2246 nt
Organism: Harpia harpyja (harpy eagle)
Lineage: Eukaryota; Metazoa; Chordata; Aves; Accipitriformes; Accipitridae
Gene: CHAD
Gene name: chondroadherin
Exons: 4
Source: RefSeq, a predicted model, not a curated record